RNAcentral lists this ribosomal RNA (468 nucleotides) under uncultured bacterium. Its description in RNAcentral is "partial 16S ribosomal RNA". It matches the Rfam family "Bacterial small subunit ribosomal RNA", at positions 28 to 507 of the family's 1533-position model. The record is from RNAcentral.
GACGAACGCUGGCGGCGUGCUUAACACAUGCAAGUCGAACGGAAAGGCCCUGCUUUUGUGGGGUGCUCGAGUGGCGAACGGGUGAGUAACACGUGAGUAACCUGCCUUUGACUUUGGGAUAACUUCAGGAAACUGGGGCUAAUACCGGAUAGGAGCUCCUGCUGCAUGGUGGGGGUUGGAAAGUUUCGGCGGUUGGGGAUGGACUCGCGGCUUAUCAGCUUGUUGGUGGGGUAGUGGCUUACCAAGGCUUUGACGGGUAGCCGGCCUGAGAGGGUGACCGGCCACAUUGGGACUGAGAUACGGCCCAGACUCCUACGGGAGGCAGCAGUGGGGAAUAUUGCACAAUGGGCGGAAGCCUGAUGCAGCAACGCCGCGUGCGGGAUGACGGCCUUCGGGUUGUAAACCGCUUUCGCCUGUGACGAAGCGUGAGUGACGGUAAUGGGUAAAGAAGCACCGGCUAAGUACGUG